GACGAACGCUGGCGGCGCGCUUAACACAUGCAAGUCGAACGGAAAGGCCUGCUUUCCCUUGUGGAUUGCGGGUACUCGAGUGGCGAACGGGUGAGUAACACGUGAGUGAUCUGCCCCCAACUUGGGUAUAAGCCUGGGAAACUGGGUCUAAUUCCCGAUAGGACUGCAGGGUGGUGCCUGUGGUGGAAAACGAUUUUCUAGUGGUUGGGGAUGAGCUCGCGGCCUAUCAGCUUGUUGGUGGGGUAAUGGCCUUCCAAGGCGGCGACGGGUAGCCGGCCUGAGAGGGUGGACGGCCACAUUGGGACUGAGAUACGGCCCAGACUCCUACGGGAGGCAGCAGUGGGGAAUAUUGCACAAUGGGCGGAAGCCUGAGGCAGCGACGCCGCGUGGGGGAUGACGGCCUUCGGGUUGUAAACUCCUUUCGACCGCGAGGAAGCCACCUGGUUGGAAGGGUGGUGACGGUAGUGGUAGAAGAAGCACCGGCUAACUACGUG
RNAcentral lists this ribosomal RNA (494 nucleotides) under uncultured bacterium. RNAcentral's name for it is "partial 16S ribosomal RNA". It matches the Rfam family "Bacterial small subunit ribosomal RNA", at positions 28 to 507 of the family's 1533-position model. The record is from RNAcentral.